Molecule: non-coding RNA, 155 nt
Filed under: Actinotignum urinale DSM 15805
Lineage: Bacteria; Bacillati; Actinomycetota; Actinomycetes; Actinomycetales; Actinomycetaceae
Description: DUF2800 RNA
Rfam family: DUF2800 RNA
About the family: Actinobacteria, Firmicutes, Synergistetes (1 example). Terminator (Clostridia)
Source: RNAcentral
UGGGUGGCUGCAUCGUCUGAUCAACGGUGGCGCACGGUUCUCAUCCGGCAAGUAAAUAUUUCUGACUUCGUUAUGCGCAAGCGCAGUCACAACCCCGAGCGGAGAUUUCCGCGGGGCUUGUGGUCUGUUUACUGCGCCCAUUUUGCCUUGCCCUU